RNAcentral lists this ribosomal RNA (3004 nucleotides) under uncultured bacterium FGYC_13M19. RNAcentral describes it as "bacterial LSU rRNA". It matches the Rfam family "Bacterial large subunit ribosomal RNA". The record is from RNAcentral.
UAAAGUUACUAAGGGCGUACGGAGGAUGCCUUGGUACAUGGAGUCGAUGAAGGGCGUGGUAAGCUGCGAUAAGCUUCGGGGAGGUGCAAACAACCUUAAAUCCGGAGAUUUCCGAAUGGGGCAACCCGAUCCGGGUUAUGCCGGAUCACUCCUGCCUGAAUACAUAGGGCAGGUUGAGACAACGGGGCGAACUGAUACAUCUAAUUAACCCCAGGAACAGAAAAUAAUCAUGAUUUCCUAAGUAGCGGCGAGCGAACAGGAAAGAGCCUAAACCAUUGAUGUGUCAAGCUCAUGAGUUUUGCAUCAGUGGGGUUGUGGGACCAAUCUGGAACCUGUCAUGACGGGUUCGGCAAGUCAAAAAGAAUAUCAUUAAAUGAAGUGGCAUGGAAAGGCCAGCCGUAGAAGGUGAUAGCCCUGUAAUUGAAAAUGAUAUUCCUUGCUGGGAUUGGCACCCGAGUAACACGGGACACGAGAAAUCUUGUGCGAAUCUGCCAGGACCAUCUGGUAAGGCUAAAUACUCCCAUGUAACCGAUAGUGAACCAGUACCGUGAGGGAAAGGUGAAAAGUACUCCUAACGGAGAGUGAAAUAGAACCUGAAACCGUAUGCCUACAAGCGGUCAGAGCUCCGAUUUGUUCGGGGUGAUGGCGUGCCUUUUGCAUAAUGAGCCAGCGAGUUGCUCGUAUGUUGCAAGGUUAAGGCCCAAAGGCCGGAGCCGAAGCGAAAGCAAGUCUGAAUAGGGCGAUUAGUAACAUGCGGCAGACCCGAAACCGAGUGAUCUAACCAUGGUCAGGCUGAAGUUCCGGUAACACGGAAUGGAGGGCCGAACCCACCAGCGUUGAAAAGCUGGGGGAUGAACUGUGGUUAGGGGUGAAAGGCCAAUCAAACUCGGAGAUAUCUGGUUCUCACCGAAAUGCCUUUAGGGGCAGCGUCACGUUAGUGUAUCGGGGGUAGAGCACUGAAUGGGCUAGGGGGCCUACAAGCUUACCAACCCCAAUCAAACUCCGAAUACCGAAUACAUGAUGCGUGGCAGUGAGGCUGCGGGGGAUAAGCUUCGUAGCCGAGAGGGAAACAACCCAGACCAUCAGCUAAGGUCCCUAAAUUAAUGCUAAGUGAUAAAGGAUGUAAAAUCGCCCAGACAGCUAGGAGGUUGGCUUAGAAGCAGCCAUCCUUUAAAGAAAGCGUAACAGCUCACUAGUCAAGGGGUUUUGCGCCGAUAAUAUCCGGGACUAAGCAUUGUACCGAAGCUAUGGAUUUCCGCUUUGCGGAAGUGGUAGGUGAGCGUUCCAUUAACUUGUGAAGGUUGACCCGUGAGGGCAGCUGGAGGAGAUGGAAAUGAGUAUGCUGGCAUGAGUAGCGAUAAAGCCCGUGAAAUUCGGGCUCGCCGAAAGCUCAAGGUUUCCUGAGUAAAGUAACUCUGCUCAGGGUUAGUCGGACCCUAAGCCGAGGCCGAAAGGCGUAGGCGAUGGAAAACGGGUUUAAUAUUCCCGUACCGGUAUAGGAUUGUUUGAGUGAUGGGGGGACGCAGAAGUGAAAGGUCAUCCCGGUUUUGAUAGUCCGGGUUUAAGUGUGUAUGGGGUUCUGGCAGGAAAAUCCGCCGGAACUUUACCCAGAGGCACGAAUAGGAGGGCCUAGCCCACAAACUGACCCUAAUCAUACUGCCAAGAAAAGCCUCUAAACGAGAUCCUAGACCGACCGUACCGUAAACGGACACACGUGAGCGAGGAGAGAAUCCUAAGGCGCUUGAGAGAAUUCAAGUAAAGGAACUAGGCAAAUUAGCCCCGUAACUUCGGGAGAAGGGGUGCCCUUAUUAUGUGAAGGACUUCGCGUCCGGAGCAGAAAGGGGUCGCAGCGACCAGGCCCAAACGACUGUUUACUAAAAACACAGGUCUAUGCUAAGUCGUAAGACGAAAUAUAUGGACUGACACCUGCCCGGUGCUGGAAGGUUAAAUGGAGAGGUUAGUCCCGAUUUAUCGGGACGAAGCUUUGAAAUGAAGCCCCAGUAAACGGCGGCCGUAACUAUAACGGUCCUAAGGUAGCGAAAUUCCUUGUCGGGUAAGUUCCGACCUGCACGAAUGGUGUAACGAUUUGGGCACUGUCUCUACUUGAAACUCAGCGAAAUUGAAGUGUCGGUGAAGAUGCCGGCUACCCGCGGCAGGACGAAAAGACCCCGUGAACCUUUACUAUAACUUAGCAUUGGAUUCUGGUUCUGCAUGUGCAGGAUAGGUGGGAGGCUUUGAAACUCGGACGCUAGUCCGGGUGGAGCCAACCUUGAAAUACCACCCUUGUAUUGCUUGAAUUCUAAUCCCGACCCGUGAAUCCGGGCGAGAAACAGUGUUAGGUGGGUAGUUUGACUGGGGCGGUCUCCUCCUAAAAGGUAACGGAGGAGCCCAAAGGUUCCCUCAGCACGGUCGGUAAUCGUGCGUAGAGUGCAAAGGCAUAAGGGAGCUUGACUGCGAGGUCGACGGACCGAGCAGGUGCGAAAGCAGGGCUUAGUGAUCUGGUGGUUCCGCAUGGAAGGGCCAUCACUCAUCGGAUAAAAGGUACUCCGGGGAUAACAGGCUUAUCUCCCCCAAGAGUUCACAUCGACGGGGAGGUUUGGCACCUCGAUGUCGGCUCAUCACAUCCUGGAGCUGGAGAAGGUUCCAAGGGUUGGGCUGUUCGCCCAUUAAAGUGGUACGUGAGCUGGGUUUAGAACGUCGUGAGACAGUUCGGUCUCUAUCCGCCGUGGGCGUAGGAUAUUUGAAGGAAGCUGCACCUAGUACGAGAGGACCGGUGUGGACGAACCUCUGGUGCACCAGUUGUCACAUCAGUGGCAUCGCUGGGUAGCUAUGUUCGGUCAGGAUAAGCGCUGAAAGCAUAUAAGUGCGAAACCUAUCCUAAGAUUAGAUAUCCCUACCGUAAGGUAAUAAGGCUCGUUGUAGACUACGACGUUGAUAGGCCACAGGUGUACGUGCAGUAAUGCAUUUAGCCGAGUGGUACUAAUUAGCCGAACGGCUUUAUCAA